RNAcentral lists this small nuclear RNA (320 nucleotides) under Ailuropoda melanoleuca (giant panda). Its description in RNAcentral is "7SK RNA". It matches the Rfam family "7SK RNA". From Rfam's summary of the family: 7SK was discovered as an abundant small nuclear RNA in the mid-70s but a possible function has only recently been suggested. Two independent studies have found that 7SK RNA binds the CDK9/cyclin T complex (known as elongation factor P-TEFb). P-TEFb activates transcription by phosphorylating the C-terminal domain of RNA polymerase II. The record is from Rfam by way of RNAcentral. Lineage: Eukaryota; Metazoa; Chordata; Mammalia; Carnivora; Ursidae.
GAAUGUGAGGGCAGUCUGGCUGCAACGUGUCACCCUGCUGAUCACCAGGGUUGCUUCGGCUGAUCCGGCUGGCUAGGCGGGUGUCCCCUUCCUCACCGCUCCAUGCCCUCCCGAAGCUGCGCGCUCAGCGGAAGAGGACUACCUUCCCCCCGCAGAGGAGGACUGUUCUUCAGUCAAGGGAACACGAGUGGCUGCAGUCCCCUGCUAGAACCUCCAAAUACUCGCUCAAGGUCCAUUGUAGGAGGACGUAGGGUGGUCAGGCUUCCAAGACUCCAGACGCGGCCAAACGAGGCACUGCAUGUGGCAGGCUGCCUUUCUUA